This 338-nucleotide ribosomal RNA is filed under the name Engaeus affinis. RNAcentral's name for it is "partial 12S ribosomal RNA". The record is from RNAcentral. Lineage: Eukaryota; Metazoa; Arthropoda; Malacostraca; Decapoda; Parastacidae.
CUUAAAAUUUAAAGAAUUUGGCGGUAUUUUAGUCUAGUUAGAGGAACCUGUUUCGUAAAUGAUACUACACGUAAUAUCUUACUAGCUUUUGUUUUAGUAUGUAUACCGCCAUUAUUAGAUAAUUUUUAUAGAAGUAGUUAUUGGAAGUAAAAUUUUUAGAUAUAUUAGGUCAAGGUGCAACUUAUAGGAAUAGAAGAAAAUGGGUUACAAUAAAAUUUAUUUAAACGAAUUAACGAAGGAAGAGUAGGAAGAAUUCUGUUAUGAAGGAGGAUUUAAUUGUAACGAGAUUUUAAUAAGAUCUAGUGAUACUAGCUCUAAAUUAUGUACACAUACGCCCG